UUAACUAAUUAUGUAAUUUUUUUUCAAGGCAUGAAGAUCAUGGCCUGUUCGAGGGUGUCUUUGUCUGUAAAGAUGAAGAUGUUUCCAAGUUUGUGGACUACAUUAAUGCUAAGACAAAGCACGUAAGUUAUAUUGUUGUUUUGUCUUGGUGCAGUCUAAAAUUGUAUUCCCCCCAAAAAUAAAAAAAUCUUGCAUGGCUUAGACUAGAGUAAGGCAAAAAUUCAAAAGAACUUGUGGUCAUUUGAAAUGUGUCCUCCUUUUGGCCUUUUUUGUACAAAUUUCUGUUUCCUAUUGACAUUUAUCCAUAUAUGUAAUUUAAUACAAUGUUGUUGAAUCAUAAAAUUUCUUUUACUUUGUUCUAAACUUGAUAGUCAGCUGGAAAAGGUGUCUGUGGAUCAAGUCAAUGGAGUGCAGCACGGGAGUCUGUCCCAAAGAAAAUCAACAAGCUGGAUGAGGAGGGGAUGGAGGUGGCUGUCUGUCGACAUGGUGUGCUCCUGAGAAGUCUGAACAUGAUGAGGGGGGAAAUAUUUGCGUAUCCCCUGUUUCUCCAAAAAGAGCUGACUGCAAAGAAUGUGCAGUUCAUGUGCACUGAUGUUAUAUGCAAGUACUGGCCAUACCUGCAGAGAAUUGUUAAAGAUUGUCCAGAGCUCUCUCCUCUCCUGGACAUGAAGCCUUUCCUGUCAGUGAUGCAUGCAAAGGCCCACUCUUGGAAAUGUGAGAUUAAAUGGGGUGGUCGAAACCAAGAAGGAGCAGGCACCACCCUGGGGGAAGAGGUCGAACAAGUUAACAGCUUUUUGUCGAGAACUGCUAUAUGCAGUAAAUACAUGACCAAAGGAGCCAGAACAGACAUGAUUACAAUCCAGGCCAUGGCAUGGAAUCAGCGCAAAAUACGGAAACUUGCAAAAGCGCUGUCCCUAAGAUUUAAAAAGAUGGGAACAAGAGAAGACACAAACUCCGAAGAAAGAUUUUGGAAGAAAAAGCCAAAUUUUGUGCAGCUGUAGAUGACUACAACAGGGCAGCAACUGAAAAACUGCAGUCAGCUGAUACAAUACUGGCAUCUGAGAGCUAUGCAUGGCCAUGGGUCCUUGAUGAACGUGGUAUGUCUUGUUACUCAUUUAAAUUCGGAUGAAUGUACUGUGUUUAUGUAGCAGCUUAUCUGUUUACAGUGGAUAUUGUUUGCAACUGUUGUACAGCAGGAUAUUUUGCAUGUUUCCUACAGUGUGUAUGCAUUUUGUCCGGCUAUAGCAAGCUUGUUCUGCAAUAGUGUAAGCACAUCUAGGACCGGUUUCACAGACAAGAGCUUAGACUAAGCUAGGAUUAGGUCAUAGGUUUAAGAUUUAAGUAGCUUUUAUAAAUGUGCCAUAGGAAACAAAAC
Cyprinus carpio (common carp) is the source of this 1375-nucleotide long non-coding RNA. The record is from Ensembl. NCBI's taxonomy places the organism in Eukaryota, Metazoa, Chordata, Actinopteri, Cypriniformes, Cyprinidae.